UACGUAGGGUGCGAGCGUUGUUCGGAAUUACUGGGCGUAAAGCGUGCGCAGGCGGUUUUGUAAGCCAGAUGUGAAAUCCCCGGGCUUAACCUGGGAAUGGCAUUUGGGACUGCAAGGCUGGAGUUUGGCAGAGGAGACUGGAAUUCCUGGUGUAGCAGUGAAAUGCGUAGAUAUCGGGAGGAACACCAGUGGCGAAGGCGACUUCCUGGCCUGUUCUUGACGCUGAGGCGCGAAAGCUAGGGGAGCAAACGGG
RNAcentral lists this ribosomal RNA (253 nucleotides) under uncultured bacterium. RNAcentral's name for it is "partial 16S ribosomal RNA". It matches the Rfam family "Bacterial small subunit ribosomal RNA", at positions 524 to 776 of the family's 1533-position model. The record is from RNAcentral.